Molecule: ribosomal RNA, 253 nt
Filed under: uncultured bacterium
Lineage: Bacteria
Description: partial 16S ribosomal RNA
Rfam family: Bacterial small subunit ribosomal RNA
Source: RNAcentral
UACGUAGGCAGCGAGCGUUGUUCGGAAUUACUGGGCGUAAAGAGUGUGUAGGCGGCGCUCUAAGUUCGGUGUGAAAUCUCUCGGCUUAACUGGGAGGGUGCGCCGGAAACUGGAGUGCUCGAACGUGGGAGAGGAAAGCGGAAUUCCUGGUGUAGCGGUGAAAUGCGUAGAUAUCGAGAGGAACACCUGCGGCGAAGGCGGGUUGCUGGGCUGACACUGACGCUGAUGCGCGAAAGCCAGGGGAGCGAACGGG